UCACCCUGAGACCGAUAGCAAACAAGUACGGUGACGGAAGAUUGAAAAGAACUUUGAAGAGAGAGUUCAAUAGUACGUGAAACUGUGUGGUGGUAAACGGAGGGGUUCUCGAAGUUUCUGUGGGGGACUCAGCCUUGAGGUAGGGCGGUCUGGUUGUAUCCAAUCAGCAAUGAUGGUGCGGCUUUUCCAGCUUUGCCUACGGGUGCAUUUCCCCUGCAGUUUACGACAGGAACCGUUACGAUCCAACCUAAGGCUCUGGGUGAAGUUACAGUCCUAGAUUGUAGCCCUGGAUGUUCUGGCUUGGAGUGUGACGGGUAGUUGAGGAGACUUGUAUAGCAAGCAGUGCUCUGCUGCGGUUUCCAUCUCUCUGUCGAGUAGGUCGGUGGCCCCUCCGACCCGUCUUGAAACACGGACCAAGGAGUCUAACAUGUAUGCGAGCCAUUGAGUUGACUAAACUUAGAGGCGUAGUGAAAGCAAAGAGUAGCUUGUCUGCUCGAGGGAAGAUCCGCAAGGCGCAUUCCCGUGACUUCCAAUCGACCUCGCUUCGUUGGGAGUACACAGAGCAUAAAUGUUGGGACCCGAAAGAUGGUGAACUAUGCAUGGCCAGGAUGAAGUCAGGGGAAACCCUGAUGGAAGUCCGUAGCGAUUCUGACGUGCAAAUCGAUCGUCGGAGCUGUGUAUAGGGGCGAAAGACUAAUCGAACCAUCUAGUAGCUGGUUCCUGCCGAAGUUUCCCUCAGGAUAGCUGGUGCUCAUUUACGAGUUUCAUCCGGUAAAGCGAAUGAUUAGAAGUAUUGGGGGCGAAAUGCCCUCAACUUAUUCUCAAACUUUAAAUGGGUGAGAAGUGCGUCUUGCUUGAGUGAAGUCGUACACUGAAUCGGAGUGCCUAGUGGGCCAUUUUUGGUAAGCAGAACUGGCGCUGUGGGAUGAACCAAACGCAGAGUUAAAGUGCCAAAGUGGAAGCUCAUCAGAUCCCACGAAAGGUGUUGGUUGCUUAAAACAGCAGGACGGUGGCCAUGGAAGUCGGAAUCCGCUAAGGAGUGUGUAACAACUCACCUGCCGAAGCAACUAGCCCUGAAAAUGGAUGGCGCUAAAGCUUCCCACUUAUACUCUGCCGUUCAGUUAGAGCUGGCCCUUGAGGCCCUGACAAUUGAACGAGUAGGCAGGUCGCUCUGGUAGCGCAGAAGGCUCUGGGUGUGAACCUGGCUGGAGCUGCCAGAGGUGCAGAUCUUGGUGGUAGUAGCAAAUACUCCAGAGAGGCCCUGGAGGACCGAUGUGGAGAAGGGUUUCGUGUGAACAGCUGUUGGACACGAGUCAGUCGAUCCUAAGGCUUAGGGGAAACCCUAUAAAAUUGUGCGGUGUUUUCAGUUUGAUUAGAACCGCAACUUUGGCCGAAAGGGAAUGAGGUCCUUAUUCCUCAACCUGAUAGCGGAACCGCGGCCCUCGUACCGACACGGCAACGUGAAAAGAGCCUGAGACGUCCACCCGAGCUCUGGGAAGAGUUGUCUUUUCUGCAUAAGCCGCUGAGGCCCUGGAAUUCCUUCGUGGAGAGAAUGGGUUUUGGUCUAGGCAAAGAGCGCAGCAGUUCUUGCUGUGUCCAUGAGUGACGGGCGGAACCUUGAAAAUCAGGCUGAGGGUUACGGCGGAGUCGCAUCAGCUCGUACCCAUAUCCGCAGCAGGUCUCCUAGGUGAAUAGCCUCUGGUCGAUAGAAUAAUGUAGGUAAGGGAAGUCGGCAAAUUGGAUCCGUAACUUCGGGAUAAGGAUUGGCUCUGAGGGUCGGGGUGUUUGGGCUCUGUGCUGGAAGCAGGUUGGUCUAUCGGCAGGCCUGACUGAACUUCGCGGUGAAGUCGGUCCUGUUUCACAGACUCCUGUGGAUAGCCAUUGCUUUGCAGGCCUGGGCAACCGGUGUCCUGUUCAAACAUCAAUCAACGACUAACUCAGAACUGGCACGGACUAGGGGAAUCCGACUGUCUAAUUAAAACAAAGCAUUGCGAUGGUCAGAGAGUGAUGUUGACGCAAUGUGAUUUCUGCCCAGUGCUCUGAAUGUCAAAGUGAAGAGAUUCGUCCAAGCGCGGGUAAACGGCGGGAGUAACUAUGACUCUCUUAAGGUAGCCAAAUGCCUCGUCAUCUAAUUAGUGACGCGCAUGAAUGGAUUAACGAGAUUCCCACUGUCCCUAUCUACUAUCUAGCGAAACC
This 2196-nucleotide ribosomal RNA is filed under the name marine metagenome. Its description in RNAcentral is "eukaryotic LSU rRNA". It matches the Rfam family "Eukaryotic large subunit ribosomal RNA", at positions 323 to 2366 of the family's 3401-position model. The record is from RNAcentral.